Molecule: ribosomal RNA, 253 nt
Filed under: uncultured bacterium
Lineage: Bacteria
Description: partial 16S ribosomal RNA
Rfam family: Bacterial small subunit ribosomal RNA
Source: RNAcentral
UACGAAGGGGGCUAGCGUUGUUCGGAAUUACUGGGCGUAAAGGGCGCGUAGGCGGUCCCUCGAGUCAGGCGUGAAAGCCCCGGGCUCAACCUGGGAACCGCGCUUGAGACUGAUGGGCUAGAGUUCGGGAGAGGAUGGUGGAAUUCCCAGUGUAGAGGUGAAAUUCGUAGAUAUUGGGAAGAACACCGAUGGCGAAGGCAGCCAUCUGGACCGACACUGACGCUGAGGCGCGAAAGCGUGGGGAGCAAACAGG